This is a long non-coding RNA of Quercus robur (English oak), 475 nucleotides long. RefSeq lists it as uncharacterized. Lineage: Eukaryota; Viridiplantae; Streptophyta; Magnoliopsida; Fagales; Fagaceae. The transcript has 4 exons. The record is from RefSeq and is a predicted model, not a curated record.
CCUAUAUAGCCAAGUAGAAGCAAUUAAUAAAAGAAGAAAGAAAACUUGGGGACCAAAGGUACCAAAAAAGCCCUAAGUGGCUAGCGAGAAUCGAACCAAAUCAUAAAAAAUAGAAAAUAAAAACAACGCAUGAAUCAAAAUCAAAAUUUGGAAGAAAACCAUGUGAAAUCAAAAUUUAAAGAAAGAAAAGUGCAGAUAAUUGAGGGUGGUGGAUUGGCGGCUUCCGUACCUUUCUUUAUGGGGACCUAAAAUUGAAGCAAAGCAAUUAGUAAAAUGUGCAAUGCAACUGUUAAAGAGAGAAGAGUAAGAUAAAUUUUCUUGCUACAAAAGAUGGUGGACAGAUACAAAGUGUUAGAGAACAACGCAAAAUAAAUGAAGGUUAUUACUGAAGUGAUAGAGUGGGUUUUGUAGAAAUGGAGCCCUAUAAUAACUUCAAGUUCAAGAAAUCUUUGAAUUCUUUUUAUGUCGCUUGGAU